UUUUAUUUUUUCGACUCCUUUUACGGUUGUAUUUUAAUCAGUCUGAACUUUUUCAACCGGACAUUUUACUUCAAAAAUUUGAUCAAAAUCUGUCUGUUUUCCAGAAGUAUAUUUCACGCUGAACAUUUUAAUGCAUUCAUUUUAAUUUUUCAAGCAUUUGUGCGUGCAAUUUUUAUUCAUUUCGAGUUCUUUUAUUUUUAUUUUUUUGUCAAAAUGUUUGAAAUAAUUAAAUAGAAUUAUUUA
This 243-nucleotide long non-coding RNA is filed under the name Lathyrus oleraceus (garden pea). Its description in RNAcentral is "Pisum sativum (pea) long non-coding RNA (PSAT_LNC008020)". Lineage: Eukaryota; Viridiplantae; Streptophyta; Magnoliopsida; Fabales; Fabaceae. The record is from RNAcentral.